CAGCAGGUGUUUAUUCAUAGACAUUGAAUU
This 30-nucleotide non-coding RNA is filed under the name Rattus norvegicus (Norway rat). The record is from RNAcentral. Lineage: Eukaryota; Metazoa; Chordata; Mammalia; Rodentia; Muridae.